UAUUAGCCACCGGCUGCUAACUCUUCUCAGAAGACCGUGUUAGCGGAAGCAUUAUGGUGAGAGACAGCGGACUGCAGCGCCACCUGGCGGCAAGGCGGAGAUCACACGCCGGACUCUGUAGAGUCUGGAGCUUCCCUGCCUGUCUGUCUGCCUUGCGGAGCUGUUAUGCUCUGUUAAAUCGGCACAUAUUGUACUGGCUGAUGAAUGACAGAUGUUUUAUUCAUGGAGGAAAGAUAGUGUACAUUCUUUGAAGCACAUUCCAGGUUUCACGAAGAGGGUACAGGAUGGGGGCAGACGGUUUGAAAGGAAAGAAGACUGCCUGAAUUCACCAUUUCAGCCAUUCCUGCCUGCAGAUGAAAAGGUGAUUCUGACAGUCUGUUGAUGCUUCAGUCUCGUAUCUGGGCAAACCCAUCCCCAGCAAAUUAUGUCUUGAUCUGUGUCGCGAAGAAUGUUUCAGACCGCAUUCCUUACGCUCAGCUGGGACAUCUGACUGGUGCUCUGAUGAAGCAAACACUGGAAGAACAAAUACAGUGCAAUGCAUUUCUUACCCCUUGAACUUUUUCUUGCUUUGUUUUGCCACCUUACAACCACAAACUUCAAUGUGCUAUAUUGACCUUUCAACAGACAGACAAGCAGUAACUAGUGCAAAAUUUCAAGGAAACAAAUGCAUUUUUUUUUUUUUUUUUACAAAGAAAAGUAAUCUGAAUAGCUUGGACAGCAUUCAAUUUUAAGUCUUUUCACACAUUCUUAACUGGAUUAAUAUCUGGAUUUUGACUGGGCUAUUGUAAAACAUUGAUAUAUUUUGAACUAAACCAUUUCAUCGCA
Molecule: long non-coding RNA, 825 nt
Organism: Poecilia latipinna (sailfin molly)
Lineage: Eukaryota; Metazoa; Chordata; Actinopteri; Cyprinodontiformes; Poeciliidae
Exons: 2
Source: RefSeq, a predicted model, not a curated record